UGCACAGACUGCUGGGUCAUGAGCUCUGAUAGGAAUUCCAGCUUUCUUUAGUCCAAUGAUGGCUCAGGCUGAGCAGCACCUGUAAAUACAAAUGAGCUGGGCAACAGUGAAUACUCCGCAAACUCAAUUUAAAGCAUACAUUUGAGUAGGCUGCAUCUGUACUGUGUUGCUGCGCACACAGAGCGGAGAGCAUCAAGGUCAGUCACACAGCAAAACAGAUGUCCCAGGUAACCUGCUCUACUACCCGGGGAAGACAGUGUUAUCCCAGGGAAGGCAGGAAUCAGCUGAACCAAGUUGAGUUCCAACAGGCAGAGAACGAGCAUUAAGCAUGCAGGUUAAGUACAAUCAGCACCUUUCUGCCUGUUUCAAGCCUCUGGGAGUCAAACCAGGUCAGCGGGAGGUUGACUAAACAAAUUAUCAGUAUUUUAUUCCAAGAUUUGGCCAUGGCCCUCACUCCCCUCACUGCUUGAAAUGUGGGAAUGGAAGCAGUUCUUCAACACAACAAUAGUGUUAUCAGCACUUCCAGAACCCCGCUGGUUCUCAUAAUUACCUUGCAUUUGGGUGGCCCUCUCUAUUGAUUUUGGCAGUGAUAAACCUGGACCCAAACUGAGUGUGAAACCAUAGGACCAUCAGCAGGCAGGUAGCAUAUGGAAGACUGGCUGUAGCUCAUCCACAGUUCACCAACACAACAAUUCCCGGAUUUCCUGUCAGCACUCAAGAGUUGUCUUGUGCACUUUACAUUUGAUAUUAUGAGGAUCCACUAAAUACAGAUUCACGUUUUACAUUAA
This is a long non-coding RNA of Micropterus dolomieu (smallmouth bass), 788 nucleotides long. RefSeq lists it as uncharacterized. Lineage: Eukaryota; Metazoa; Chordata; Actinopteri; Centrarchiformes; Centrarchidae. The transcript is spliced from 3 exons. The record is from RefSeq and is a predicted model, not a curated record.